RNAcentral lists this ribosomal RNA (466 nucleotides) under uncultured bacterium. Its description in RNAcentral is "bacterial SSU rRNA". It matches the Rfam family "Bacterial small subunit ribosomal RNA", at positions 355 to 825 of the family's 1533-position model. The record is from RNAcentral.
UGAGGAAUAUUGGACAAUGGGCGCAAGCCUGAUCCAGCCAUGCCGCGUGCAGGAUGACGGUCCUAUGGAUUGUAAACUGCUUUUGUACAGGAAGAAACAGUUCUACGUGUAGAACCUUGACGGUACUGUAAGAAUAAGGAUCGGCUAACUCCGUGCCAGCAGCCGCGGUAAUACGGAGGAUCCAAGCGUUAUCCGGAAUCAUUGGGUUUAAAGGGUCCGUAGGCGGUUAGAUAAGUCAGUGGUGAAAGCCCAUCGCUCAACGGUGGAACGGCCAUUGAUACUGUCUGACUUGAAUUAUUAGGAAGUAACUAGAAUAUGUAGUGUAGCGGUGAAAUGCUUAGAGAUUACAUGGAAUACCAAUUGCGAAGGCAGGUUACUACUAAUGGAUUGACGCUGAUGGACGAAAGCGUGGGUAGCGAACAGGAUUAGAUACCCUGUAGUCCCUGAGCGGGCUGGCAAGGCGCAU